GUCAUUCAAGGCUGCAAGUCACUCAAGGGCAAAGAUUGAGCCUGUUCCCUUCCUCUCCUCAACAGACGGCUCAGAAUCACUCAGCUGUAUUCACCAUUUUGUCUUUUGCUGAAAUUUUCCACCCUUCAUGGCUGUGUCCUCUUUCCCCAGCACUGAAACUGGUUACACUGAGAUGGAAGGAGGAACUGGAAGAGGGAAGAUUAACCUUUCACUGGCCACAAUGCCUAGCCUCUUAUUGAGGAGGAUUCAGCAACCCAACCCCCUCCAAUCCAGCCUAUCUGUCUGAAUUGCUGAAAGCAUAAUGCUCCCAUAUGAGAGAUAAGGGGAAAAGGCUUCAUCUCACACAGAAAUAUGAUGUCCUUUACUGCCAGAGGCUGUUGCUGUUUCAAAUGAGGAAAAAGCACAAUGCAUGAAGAAGGAAAAUUAAAGCAUAUUCAUUUUGGAAAUUAGAUACGGUGUCAGGAGACUUUCUGGAAAUAGCAUGGUUUGAAUAGAGCAAAAGGCUACAAGACAGUUCACUGAACUUUUGACCACUAUUUAUACUAUGGAAGCUCUUGAAAUGGGAAGAUGGCAAAGUAUUUUAUAGCUGUUUAAUAAUGGAUUGUGGAUUUUAUGAGAUAUUUAUCUUCUCUUUGAGUGUAUAUAAGGUAAGCAAACGUUAUGUAGCGUAAUUGUAUUGCAUUGGGAGCACUUUAAUUUAGGGCUGGUUGAUUUUCCCUGCGAUGCAUCUCUCAAGCAGCAAAGCCCUGUUCGAUGCCACCUGAAUGCCUGGCCUCAUCCCUGAAGUGCUGCUGGGGUUGCUUGUGGGGGGCCAGAAUGGACCUGAGGGAUGUUUAGCUGCUUGUUACAUGGGGAAGAAUGUCUAAAACGGGUGGCCGGGGCCUUGGACUGUCUGAAAAGCUCAAGUAACUCCUAGCUCUAGACUGACUUAAACUAUCUCUCAUUUCAGUAUACUGAAACUCGUUUUAAUCUUGUAUAAUAGUUGUAGACCCUCUGUAGCAUUUCGGAUACACUAAACAAUGUAACCUAUCCAGGGUUAGCAGCUAACUCAUUACAAUGAUAACAAUGCGUCACCAGGCAGACAGGUAUGUGAGAAAUAUCGUUUGCAAAAAACAAAAAAUGCGUUUGGAGUAUUUUUAGGUCCUAUUAAAUCAGGCAGUUCUUCUUGCAAAAAUUGUGUAAAGAUCAGAAUUUUGGUGUAACCCUAAAGAUCCCAGUCUUGGAGCAGGUUAGCUUGAGAUGCUGCUUUUCCUUCUCCCUUCCAUUUAAGCGUGAAUGUAGCUCAGGUUGGCAGGAGGAAGGCUGUGCUACGGGGUCGGGGACAGCUGCCCUCAGACAGCCCACCUCCUGUGGCUGCGGGUUCAAAGGCAGUUAUGCAGCACUGUGGUAGCUGUGCAUGGUGCUAUUUUCUUCCCACCCUCCCCUGGAGACAAUCAUAAAAUGGAUCUACUGUUUCUUAAAACUGUGAAGCACUACAAUAAAGUUGUUUUCAUUCUUUUUCUUUUUUCCA
RNAcentral lists this long non-coding RNA (1510 nucleotides) under Phasianus colchicus (ring-necked pheasant). RNAcentral's name for it is "lncRNA (ENSPCLG00000006984.1)". Lineage: Eukaryota; Metazoa; Chordata; Aves; Galliformes; Phasianidae. The record is from RNAcentral.